AAGAAGCGCCGGCUAACUACGUGCCAGCAGCCGCGGUAAUACGUAGGGCGCGAGCGUUGUCCGGAAUUAUUGGGCGUAAAGAGCUCGUAGGCGGCCUGUUGCGUCCGCUGUGAAAUCCCAGGGCUUAACCCUGGUACGUGCAGUGGAUACGGGCAGGCUGGAGGCAGGCAGGGGAGAACGGAAUUCCCGGUGUAGCGGUGAAAUGCGCAGAUAUCGGGAGGAACACCGGUGGCGAAGGCGGUUCUCUGGGCCUGUUCUGACGCUGAGGAGCGAAAGCGUAGGGAGCAAACAGGAUUGGAUCCCCUGGUACCACGCCGUAAACGUUGGGCGCUAGGUGUGGGUCCCUUCCACGGGGUCUGUGCCGCAGCUAACGCAUUAAGCGCCCCGCCUGGGGWGUACGGCCGCAAGGCUAAAACUC
RNAcentral lists this ribosomal RNA (418 nucleotides) under uncultured actinomycete. RNAcentral describes it as "bacterial SSU rRNA". It matches the Rfam family "Bacterial small subunit ribosomal RNA", at positions 485 to 902 of the family's 1533-position model. Lineage: Bacteria; Bacillati; Actinomycetota; Actinomycetes; Actinomycetales. The record is from RNAcentral.